RNAcentral lists this ribosomal RNA (253 nucleotides) under uncultured bacterium. RNAcentral describes it as "partial 16S ribosomal RNA". It matches the Rfam family "Bacterial small subunit ribosomal RNA", at positions 524 to 776 of the family's 1533-position model. The record is from RNAcentral.
UACGUAGGGUGCGAGCGUUAAUCGGAAUUACUGGGCGUAAAGAGUGCGUAGGCGGUUCGUUAUGUCUGCUGUGAAAGCCCCGGGCUUAACCCGGGAAUGGCAGUGGAAACUGGCGGGCUUGAGUGUGGCAGAGGGGGGUGGAAUUCCCGGUGUAGAGGUGAAAUUCGUAGAUAUCGGGAGGAACACCGGUGGCGAAGGCGGCGAUCUGGGUCGAUACUGACGCUGAGGUGCGAAAGCGUGGGGAGCAAACAGG